UACGGAGGAUCCAAGCGUUAUCCGGAAUCACUGGGUUUAAAGGGUCCGUAGGCGGUUUGGUAAGUCAGUGGUGAAAGCCCAUCGCUCAACGGUGGAACGGCCAUUGAUACUGCCAGACUUGAAUUAUUAGGAAGUAACUAGAAUAUGUAGUGUAGCGGUGAAAUGCUUAGAGAUUACAUGGAAUACCAAUUGCGAAGGCAGGUUACUACUAAUGGAUUGACGCUGAUGGACGAAAGCGUGGGUAGCGAACAGG
This 253-nucleotide ribosomal RNA is filed under the name uncultured bacterium. RNAcentral's name for it is "partial 16S ribosomal RNA". It matches the Rfam family "Bacterial small subunit ribosomal RNA", at positions 524 to 776 of the family's 1533-position model. The record is from RNAcentral.